RNAcentral lists this ribosomal RNA (406 nucleotides) under uncultured bacterium. RNAcentral's name for it is "partial 16S ribosomal RNA". It matches the Rfam family "Bacterial small subunit ribosomal RNA", at positions 30 to 526 of the family's 1533-position model. The record is from RNAcentral.
AUUGAACGCUGGCGGCAUGCUUUACACAUGCAAGUCGGACGAGUGGCGAACGGGUGAGUAACAUAUCGGAACGUCCCGAGUAAUGGGGGAUCACUAAUCGAAAGAUUAGCUAAUACCGCAUAUUAUUCGAGCGGCCGAUAUCUGAUUAGCUGGUUGGUGGGGUAAAGGCCUACCAAGGCGACGAUCAGUAGCGGGUCUGAGAGGAUGAUCCGCCACACUGGGAUGGAGACGCGGCCCAGACUACGACGGGAGGCAGCGGUGGGGUAUUGUGGACUAUGGGCGGAACCCUGGUCCAGCCCUGCCGCGUGUCUGAAGAAGGCCUUGGUGUUGUAAAGGACUUUUGUCAGGGAAGCGGUACCUGAUGAAUAAGCACCGGCUAACUACGUGCCAGCAGCCGCGGUAAUUC